Pangasianodon gigas (Mekong giant catfish) is the source of this 72-nucleotide non-coding RNA. NCBI's taxonomy places the organism in Eukaryota, Metazoa, Chordata, Actinopteri, Siluriformes, Pangasiidae. The record is from the annotation of a GenBank genome assembly.
UCUCUCUUUCUCUCUCUCUCUCUCUGUCUGGAUCUCUCUCUAUCUAUUUGUAUUGUCUGCAUGGCUCUCUCU